RNAcentral lists this ribosomal RNA (849 nucleotides) under uncultured archaeon. RNAcentral describes it as "bacterial SSU rRNA". It matches the Rfam family "Archaeal small subunit ribosomal RNA", at positions 72 to 922 of the family's 1478-position model. The record is from RNAcentral.
CAAUACAAGGCAUACGGCUCAGUAACGCGUAGUCAACCUACCCUAUGGACGGAAAUAACCUCGGGAAACUGAGAAUAAUAUCCGAUAGAACAUUAUGCCUGGAAUGGUUUAUGUUCCAAAUGAUUUAUCGCCGUAGGAUGGGACUGCGGCCUAUCAGUUUGUUGGUGAGGUAAUGGCCCACCAAGACUAUUACAGGUACGGGCUCUGAGAGGAGUAGCCCGGAGAUGGGUACUGAGACACGGACCCAGGCCCUAUGGGGCGCAGCAGGCGAGAAAACUUUGCAAUGUGCGAAAGCACGACAAGGUUAAUCCGAGUGAUUUCUGCUAAAGAAAUCUUUUGUUAGUCCUAGAAACACUAACGAAUAAGGGGUGGGCGAGUUCUGGUGUCAGCCGCCGCGGUAAAACCAGCACCUCAAGUGGUCAGGAUGAUUAUUGGGCCUAAAGCAUCCGUAGCCGGCCCUGUAAGUCCUCGGUUAAAUCUGUACGCUUAACGUACAGGCUGCCGGGAAUACUGCAUAGCUAGGGAGUGGGAGAGGUAGACGGUACUCGGUAGGAAGGGGUAAAAUCCUUUGAUCUAUUGAUGACCACCUGUGGCGAAGGCGGUCUACCAGAACACGUCCGACGGUGAGGGAUGAAAGCUGGGGGAGCAAACCGGAUUAGAUACCCGGGUAGUCCCAGCUGUAAACUAUGCAAACUCAGUGAUGCAUUGGCUUGUGGCCAAUGCAGUGCUGCAGGGAAGCCGUUAAGUUUGCCGCCUGGGAAGUACGUACGCAAGUAUGAAACUUAAAGGAAUUGGCGGGGGAGCACCACAAGGGGUGAAGCCUGCGGUUCAAUUGGACUCAACGCCGGG